UUCCUCUUAGUGUCGACCUUCAGGGUGCUGGAUUUAGGAUGAAACCCUCCAUGUAUUGUGAGGAGCUUUCUUAUCUGUUUCUUCUACUACUAUGCCAGCAGGGCGUCGGAUCACUAGCAGAGUCUCAGUGUUGAUGGCUUUGAGAUCUUGGUCUUGUACCCUUCAGGACUUGCCUCACUCUGUGGAGGUAUUUGGCUGUAGAUGAUCUCCUUGUGGUUCCCAUCUACUUGUGGGAUCCAAACAUCUUGCUAUGUUGCCUUCAGGUGCAUCAUUCCUCCCGGUUGUGAUCGUCUUUCCUCUCUUUAAAAUCCCAUCCUGACUUCAUUGCUGUAGAUCUGAGUGAGGUGGAUCAGCGAGUCGUGGUGUACAGCUCGGUGUCAUCCAUGCAGAAGAGGUGGCCGAUGAAGAAGGUAUCGAGACCAACUCUGUGUGAUGAUCUGAUGGAGAAGGUCCAAGCC
This is a non-coding RNA of Xyrichtys novacula (pearly razorfish), 458 nucleotides long. NCBI's taxonomy places the organism in Eukaryota, Metazoa, Chordata, Actinopteri, Labriformes, Labridae. The record is from the annotation of a GenBank genome assembly.